Molecule: ribosomal RNA, 427 nt
Filed under: uncultured bacterium
Lineage: Bacteria
Description: bacterial SSU rRNA
Rfam family: Bacterial small subunit ribosomal RNA
Source: RNAcentral
UGGGGAAUUUUACGCAAUGGGGGAAACCCUGACGUAGCGACACCGCGUGAGCGAAGAAGCCCUUUGGGGUGUAAAGCUCUGUCAGCUGGAACGAAAAAAAUGACGGUACCAGCAGAGGAAGCAUCGGCUAACUACGUGCCAGCAGCCGCGGUAAGACGUAGGAUGCGAGCGUUGUCCGGAUUUAUUGGGCGUAAAGAGUUCGUAGGUGGUUUGUUAAGUCUGAUGUUAAAGACUGGGGCUCAACCCUGGAUAUGCAUUGGAUACUGGCAGACUUGAGUGUGGUAGAGGCUAGUGGAAUUCCCAGUGUAGCGGUGAAAUGCGUAGAUAUUGGGAAGAACACCGGUGGCGUAGGCGACUAGCUGGGCCAUAACUGACACUGAGGAACGAAAGCCAGGGUAGCGAAUGGGAUUAGAUACCCCUGUAGUCC